AUACUCUGGUUUCUCUUCAGAUCGCAUAAAUCUUUCACCUUUUACUAGGGAUUUCUGUGGAGAGGUCUCUUCAUUAAUAGUAGCUGGAACCAAUAGUAGUUGGAACAAAGGCAACCUUUGU
Small nuclear RNA from Eublepharis macularius, 121 nucleotides. RefSeq annotates it as U5 spliceosomal RNA. The transcript has a single exon. NCBI's taxonomy places the organism in Eukaryota, Metazoa, Chordata, Lepidosauria, Squamata, Eublepharidae. The record is from RefSeq and is a predicted model, not a curated record.